ACUGCAUUAUAAGCACUUAAAGU
This 23-nucleotide non-coding RNA is filed under the name Columba livia (rock pigeon). Its record names the gene cli-miR-20a-3p. RNAcentral also lists the same sequence under 2 other names. The record is from miRBase by way of RNAcentral. Lineage: Eukaryota; Metazoa; Chordata; Aves; Columbiformes; Columbidae.